GAGACAGGGUCUCCCUCUGUCUCCCAGGCUAGACUGCAGUGGCAUAGUCUCGGCUCACUUCAGCCUUGACCUCCCAGGCUCCAGUGAUCCUUCCACUUCAGCCUCCUGAGUAGCUGGAACUACAGGUUCAUACCACUAUGCCUGGCUAGUUUUUGUAUUUUUUGUAGAGAUGUUGUCUCUAUGUUGCCCAGGAGGUGGAGGCUGCAGUGAGCUGAGGUUGCACCACUGCACUCCAGCCUGGGCAACAGAGUAAGACUCUGUCUGGAAGAAAACAAAAUAAAACAAAACCCAACAACAAUCAAUCUAUAAAUAAAUUUCCUUAUCUGUAAAGCUAAAAGAAUACUACUUACAGGAUUAUUGAGUUUCAAAUGAGACAAUACAUGAUUUGGCGUAAGAAAGGAAUGUGGAAACCUAAACCCUGAAAGGGUAAUAUUGAACUUUACCAGUACCCCAAGAUCUCUACCAUCACCCUAUUCGAUAAACAUAACUAAGUCCACCAUGUUAAAACUAUGGAUCC
Molecule: long non-coding RNA, 517 nt
Organism: Homo sapiens (human)
Lineage: Eukaryota; Metazoa; Chordata; Mammalia; Primates; Hominidae
Source: Ensembl